Molecule: ribosomal RNA, 429 nt
Filed under: uncultured bacterium
Lineage: Bacteria
Description: bacterial SSU rRNA
Rfam family: Bacterial small subunit ribosomal RNA
Source: RNAcentral
UGGGGAAUAUUGGACAAUGGGGGGAACCCUGAUCCAGCAAUGCCGCGUGUGUGAAGAAGGCCUGAGGGUUGUAAAGCACUUUCAGUGGGGAGGAGGAUUGAUUGGUUAAGAGCUGAUUAAUUGGACGUUACCCACAGAAGAAGCACCGGCUAACUCCGUGCCAGCAGCCGCGGUAAUACGGAGGGUGCGAGCGUUAAUCGGAAUUACUGGGCGUAAAGGGUGCGUAGGUGGUUAGAUAAGUUAUCUGUAAAAGCCCUGGGCUUAACCUGGGAAGGCCAGAUAAAACUGUUUGACUGGAGUAUGGGAGAGGGUAGUGGAAUUUCCGGUGUAGCGGUGAAAUGCGUAGAGAUCGGAAGGAACACCAGUGGCGAAGGCGGCUACCUGGCCUGAUACUGACACUGAAGCACGAAAGCGUGGGGAGCAAACAGG